AUUGAACGCUGGCGGCAGGCCUAACACAUGCAAGUCGAACGGUAACACGAAGCGACUUGCUGCUUCCCGGAGGAGAGGGGGGGGCGUGAGAGGUGUCCGUGGGACUGUCCGAUGUAGGGGGGGAACAACUGGAAACGGUAACGAAAACCGCACAACGGCCCAAGGCCAAAGAGCAGGACCUUAGCGCACCUUGCCAGCGGGUAUGAGCCGAUGUCGGAUUAGCUAGUUGGUGGGGUAAAGGCUCACCGAGGCGACGAUCCGUAGCUGGUCUGAGAGGAUGAUCAGCCACACUGGAACUGAGACACGGUCCAGACUCCUACGGGAGGCAGCAGUGGGGAAUAUUGGACAAUGGGCGCAAGCCUGAUGCAGCCAUGCCGCGUGUAUGAAGAAGGCCUUCGGGUUGUAAAGCCCUUUUAUCGGGGAAGAAGAGCGGCAAGUUAAUACCUCUCUGCAUUGACGUUACCCACAGAAGAAGCACCGGCUAACUUCGUG
Molecule: ribosomal RNA, 492 nt
Filed under: uncultured bacterium
Lineage: Bacteria
Description: partial 16S ribosomal RNA
Rfam family: Bacterial small subunit ribosomal RNA
Source: RNAcentral